This is a long non-coding RNA of Cyprinus carpio carpio, 1801 nucleotides long. Lineage: Eukaryota; Metazoa; Chordata; Actinopteri; Cypriniformes; Cyprinidae. The record is from Ensembl.
AUGAGGAUGAAACGGUACUUCAAGCCUCAACAGACUGGUCGACCCGAAAGAGCCUCAUAUCAGGGUGGUGGGAGAAAGAGAGACCCCCGACUGGUCAACACCAUGGUGGCUGGACAACAUGCGGCAACUCGGAUCUGCCAACAUUGUGGAAAUGGUCCAGCCGUAAUCCGUUGUUGUGACUGCCGACCACACCCAUUCCUCUGUGGCCAGUGUGAUGUCAGGGUCCACCGAGGUCAAGUGUUCCACAACAGGGAUUCGAUGACACAUGCAUUCUUUCAUCCAUUGCCUCCCACAACUUGUGUUGUGGAGAGGGUUCUAACCCAGUGUGAGCGUCUUGUACCUUUGGAGAUGCCAGAGACAAUAUGCGGUUGUCUACGAGUAUCGUCCAGUGUCAUCGCAGGACAGUCCAUAGUUGUGGUUACAAUGAAUGGGCGAUAUGAUCUCAGAUUGCCUCAGAUUAGAUGCAAAGCAUGUGAAGCCACUUGGAGUCCUGGAGUGGAUGACCUGAUCCGUAAUGACUACUGGCCUGCCACUUCUCACUAUUCAACUGUGUAUGCAACAGAUGUCCUUUUUUCUUUUGAAGAGCUGAAGAUGGCAGCACCAGGGAUGUCUAGCCAAGCAUUUCUUAGAAUGCUGGAUCAACGCACUGUUCGAUUUGGCCGUAGUGGAAACAUCACAGCAGACAGCUUCCGGAAAAAGCUUCUUGGAGUGGGAAGCUGUCCGAUUCGAAGUGGACAAAUUAUGCCAGGAGGACCACUUUGACUGCCCAGCGUGCAGCCCAGACAUGCUUGCAGUAUCCGUUGAUGGAAACCGUAAGCACUACAGAUUCAAGAGUGCAGCAAGGUACUGUGUGUGCAUUGACGGUCCAUUACUUUGAAAGUAACUGCUGUGAAUUGAAAAUCAUAUGAAUAUUUAAAGUUAAUAUGUAUCUCUUUUAUUUAGAUCGGAGGAAAAAGCCAUCUUUGAUGGCGUGUUCAUCGCAAAUGAUGAUGAUGUCGCAAGAUUCGUGGACUAUGUCCAUACCUCAACCAGUCAUGUAAACUUGCACAACUUCUCUAUAUUUACCUAUAAAAACACCACGUCCUACAGAGGACUUAGUUUGAACAAGUUUGGAAUGUUAAACAUCUUCCAUGUUUUAGGUCUCUGGAAGAGGUGUCUGUGGAGGGCAAUGGUCAGCGGCGCGUGAAACUUCUCAGAAGUCCUCAGGAAAAAAACAGACGAGGAGGGCCUGGAACUCGCUGUAUGUCGUCAUGGGGUUCUCCUUCGUGCCCUCAAUAUGUUCAGGGGGAGAUUUUUUUGCCUACCCCCUGUACCUCCAAAAAGCAAAUGGCCUGUAAGCCAGUUAAAUUUUUUGCAAUGGAUGUGGCAUGCAAGUACUGGCCUUACCUCCAGAGAGUGACAGAGAAAUGCCCUGAGCUUGAGGAUCUCCUCACCAUGAGGCCAUUUCUUUCUGUUUUUCAUGCCAAAGCUCAUGAUUUCAAAUGUGAGGUAAGAAAAAAAUGAUUGUCCAUGAUAUUUUCUUUCCCUAAAAAUCCUGCAUAAGAUUGUUGCCACUUAGGUUUUGUUUUUUUUGUUUUCUUUUUUUAAAGGUAAAAUGGAGUGGAGCAUAUCAGGAGGGGGCUGGUUCGACUCUUGGGGAAGAGGUGGAGCAGUGCAACGCCUUCCUCUCGAGGAUUGCUGUUACGACAAAGCACAUGUCAAAAAGCAGGUAAGGUAACCAGUAAAUUUUGAUCCUGAUGACAUGGGUGAGCCACUUAUGCAUAUAUGCUGACUCUGAAAAAUAUAAAGAUCAGAAUAUAUU